Molecule: long non-coding RNA, 819 nt
Organism: Panicum virgatum (switchgrass)
Lineage: Eukaryota; Viridiplantae; Streptophyta; Magnoliopsida; Poales; Poaceae
Exons: 4
Source: RefSeq, a predicted model, not a curated record
GGAAAAUUAAACGCCAUCGUGGGCACGUGGGGCAUGGAGCAGUUUCGUCACUUCCCAUUUCAUCUCCAGAUUAUUUUUUCCCCUCUCCGUUUGUUUCUCAUCCCUGAAAAUGGUCUAGGGGACGGGACCCUCCGUCGGCGAUGAACCCAUGGAUCGGAACCUCGCCUCGGGUUCCUCCCUGGCUCCCUCCCUUCGGCAGUACUCCGCCGCCGCUCAUGGCCCGCGUGAAGGAAGGAGUGAGAUCGAGCUGGCGCAUGCGCCACAUCAGAGGAAGAAGGGCCUGAUGCGCUCUGAUUUGGGACGGGCAGCUUCCUGCAUCGACCGUGGCCCCGUGCAUCAUCUCCAUCUAGUGGAUCCCGAUCUAAGUCUGCUAGGCAUGGCGGUGGGUACACAUCCCGGCGAAUCACCAAUCUGGCAGGAAGGAGUGGAGGUAAGGGUCUGCUUGAAGGAAGGAGUCGAGAUCUGGCUGGCGCGGGGCAAGAGCAGCGAAGCCUCUGACCGGAUCAGGGGAGAAUGGCAGGAGAGCUGCGUUGGACGUCCACGCCAACUACAUUCAUAGAAGCAAGGAUUUAUCAGUUGGAGUCACUCAGCAAGUACAUACAGGUCAGCUGAAGUUCCUUGAAUUUUACAUUUGCAGUGCUGCCGCUGUGACGUCUGACUGCAGUUCAGUUGAAAGGAGGCACAUUAGCACAUACACUCAAUCUUAGUUUUCUUGUAUAGGUGGUGUGCUGGUAAUCCUGCUGAUGCGUGUACAAUCUUAUGAUCCGUGCAUGUACACAUUAACUGAAUUUUAAUGUAAAUGAUAUUUCAUUCCAUGCG